RNAcentral lists this ribosomal RNA (725 nucleotides) under uncultured bacterium. RNAcentral describes it as "bacterial SSU rRNA". It matches the Rfam family "Bacterial small subunit ribosomal RNA", at positions 771 to 1501 of the family's 1533-position model. The record is from RNAcentral.
AACAGGAUUAGAUACCCUGGUAGUCCACGCCCUAAACGAUGUCUACUAGUUGUUGGGUCUUAAUUGACUUAGUAACGCAGCUAACGCGAGAAGUAGACCGCCUGGGGAGUACGGUCGCAAGAUUAAAACUCAAAGGAAUUGACGGGGACCCGCACAAGCGGUGGAUGAUGUGGAUUAAUUCGAUGCAACGCGAAAAACCUUACCUACCCUUGACAUGUCAGGAAUCCUGGAGAGAUCUGGGAGUGCCCGAAAGGGAACCUGAACACAGGUGCUGCAUGGCUGUCGUCAGCUCGUGUCGUGAGAUGUUGGGUUAAGUCCCGCAACGAGCGCAACCCUUGUCAUUAGUUGCUACGAAAGGGCACUCUAAUGAGACUGCCGGUGACAAACCGGAGGAAGGUGGGGAUGACGUCAAGUCCUCAUGGCCCUUAUGGGUAGGGCUUCACACGUCAUACAAUGGUACAUACAGAGGGCCGCCAACCCGCGAGGGGGAGCUAAUCCCAGAAAGUGUAUCGUAGUCCGGAUUGUAGUCUGCAACUCGACUGCAUGAAGUUGGAAUCGCUAGUAAUCGCGGAUCAGCAUGUCGCGGUGAAUACGUUCCCGGGUCUUGUACACACCGCCCGUCACACCAUGGGAGCGGGUUUUACCAGAAGUAGGUAGCUUAACCGCAAGGAGGGCGCUUACCACGGUAGGAUUCGUGACUGGGGUGAAGUCGUAACAAGGUAACC